AGAGUUUGAUCAUGGCUCAGGACGAACGCUGGCGGCGUGCUUAACACAUGCAAGUCGAGCGGUAAGGCCCCUUCGGGGGUACACGAGCGGCGAACGGGUGAGUAACACGUGAGCAAUCUGCCCAUCACAUCGGGAUAACUCCGGGAAACCGAAGCUAAUACCGAAUACGACCACUCCCGGCAUCGGGUAGUGGUGGAAAGUUCCGGCGGUGAUGGAUGACCUCGCGGCCUAUCAGCUUGUUGGUGGGGUAAUGGCCCACCAAGGCAACGACGGGUAGCCGGCCUGAGAGGGUGACCGGCCACACUGGGACUGAGACACGGCCCAGACUCCUACGGGAGGCAGCAGUGGGGAAUAUUGGACAAUGGGCGAAAGCCUGAUCCAGCAACGCCGCGUGAGGGAUGACGGCCUUCGGGUUGUAAACCUCUUUCAGCAGGGACGAAGCGCAAGUGACGGUACCUGCAGAAGAAGCACCGGCCAACUACGUGCCAGCAGCCGCGGUAAUACGUAGGGUGCGAGCGUUGUCCGGAAUUAUUGGGCGUAAAGGGCUCGUAGGCGGUUUGUCACGUCGGGAGUGAAAACUCAGGGCUUAACCCUGAGCCUGCUUCCGAUACGGGCAGACUAGAGGUAUGCAGGGGAGAACGGAAUUCCUGGUGUAGCGGUGAAAUGCGCAGAUAUCAGGAGGAACACCGGUGGCGAAGGCGGUUCUCUGGGCAUUACCUGACGCUGAGGAGCGAAAGUGUGGGGAGCGAACAGGAUUAGAUACCCUGGUAGUCCACACCGUAAACGUUGGGCGCUAGGUGUGGGGCUCAUUCCACGAGUUCCGUGCCGCAGCUAACGCAUUAAGCGCCCCGCCUGGGGAGUACGGCCGCAAGGCUAAAACUCAAGG
This 886-nucleotide ribosomal RNA is filed under the name uncultured bacterium. RNAcentral describes it as "bacterial SSU rRNA". It matches the Rfam family "Bacterial small subunit ribosomal RNA", at positions 8 to 906 of the family's 1533-position model. The record is from RNAcentral.